This 492-nucleotide ribosomal RNA is filed under the name uncultured bacterium. RNAcentral describes it as "partial 16S ribosomal RNA". It matches the Rfam family "Bacterial small subunit ribosomal RNA", at positions 29 to 507 of the family's 1533-position model. The record is from RNAcentral.
AGUGAACGCUGGCGGUAGGCCUAACACAUGCAAGUCGAACGGCAGCACAGUAAGAGCUUGCUCUUACGGGUGGCGAGUGGCGGACGGGUGAGGAAUACAUCGGACUCUACUUUUUCGUGGGGGAUAACGUAGGGAAACUUACGCUAAUACCGCAUACGACCUACGGGUGAAAGCAGGGGAUCUUCGGACCUUGCGCGAUUGAAUGAGCCGAUGUCGGAUUAGCUAGUUGGCGGGGUAAAGGCCCACCAAGGCGACGAUCCGUAGCCGGUCUGAGAGGAUGAUCAGCCACCCUGGAACUGAGACACGGUCCAUACUCCUACGGGAGGCACCAGUGGGGAAUAUUGGACAAUGGGCGCAAACCUGAUCCAGCCAUACCGCGUGUGUUACGAAGACCUUCCGGUUGUAAAGCCCUUUUGUUGGGAAAGAAAAGCAGCCGGUUAAUACCCCGCUGUUCUGACGGUACCCAGAGAAUAAGCACCGGCUAACUUCGUG